Molecule: ribosomal RNA, 406 nt
Filed under: uncultured Lachnospiraceae bacterium
Lineage: Bacteria; Bacillati; Bacillota; Clostridia; Lachnospirales; Lachnospiraceae
Description: partial 16S ribosomal RNA
Rfam family: Bacterial small subunit ribosomal RNA
Source: RNAcentral
UGGGGAAUAUUGCGCAAUGGGGGAAACCCUGACGCAGCAACGCCGCGUGAAGGAAGAAGGCUUUCGGGUUGUAAACUUCUAUCGACGGGGAAGAAAAAAAUGACGGUACCCGAGUAAGAAGCACCGGCUAAAUACGUGCCAGCAGCCGCGGUAAUACGUAUGGUGCAAGCGUUAUCCGGAAUUACUGGGCGUAAAGGGUGAGUAGGCGGCUUGUUAAGUCAUAUGUGAAAAUCCGGGGCUCAACCCCGGACUUGCAUAAGAAACUGGCAGGCUUGGAGUGCAGGAGAGGUAAGCGGAAUUCCUAGUGUAGCGGUGAAAUGCGUAGAUAUUAGGAAGAACACCAGUGGCGAAGGCGGCUUACUGGACUGUAACUGACGCUGAGUCACGAAAGCGUGGGGAGCGAACA